Non-coding RNA from Vicia faba (fava bean), 276 nucleotides. NCBI's taxonomy places the organism in Eukaryota, Viridiplantae, Streptophyta, Magnoliopsida, Fabales, Fabaceae. The record is from the annotation of a GenBank genome assembly.
AUGGGGAGGGGGAGGAACUUCAUGUUCGACAAGUUUAAAUUUUACGAUCUGUCUUCGAAAGUUGAAGGUGUUCUUGGUAGGACUUAUCCGCCGGAUUUUGAAAAUCCAGUGGCUAAGUUAGGUGUGGCGAUGCCAGUAGUUGGAGGUGAAAAUAGAUAUAGAACUACGUCACUUCUUUCUGCUGAUUGUGGUGAUUGUUUAUUUGUUCCUGGUGAUAAUUCCGAAAACAAAGACAAUGUGAUUGUACAAGUGUUGCCAAUAGCGGGAAUGCUAUAG